GCCCUGGCAGUCAGAGGCGAUGAAGGACGUGCUAAUCUGCGAUAAGCGUCGGUAAGGUGAUAUGAACCGUUAUAACCGGCGAUUUCCGAAUGGGGAAACCCAGUGUGAUUCGUCACACUAUCAUUAACUGAAUCCAUAGGUUAAUGAGGCGAACCGGGGGAACUGAAACAUCUAAGUACCCCGAGGAAAAGAAAUCAACCGAGAUUCCCCCAGUAGCGGCGAGCGAACGGGGAGGAGCCCAGAGCCUGAAUCAGUGUGUGUGUUAGUGGAAGCGUCUGGAAAGGCGCGCGAUACAGGGUGACAGCCCCGUACACAAAAAUGCACAUGCUGUGAGCUCGAUGAGUAGGGCGGGACACGUGGUAUCCUGUCUGAAUAUGGGGGGACCAUCCUCCAAGGCUAAAUACUCCUGACUGACCGAUAGUGAACCAGUACCGUGAGGGAAAGGCGAAAAGAACCCCGGCGAGGGGAGUGAAAAAGAACCUGAAACCGUGUACGUACAAGCAGUGGGAGCACAGAGCAAUCUGUGUGACUGCGUACCUUUUGUAUAAUGGGUCAGCGACUUAUAUUCUGUAGCAAGGUUAACCGAAUAGGGGAGCCGAAGGGAAACCGAGUCUUAACUGGGCGUUAAGUUGCAGGGUAUAGACCCGAAACCCGGUGAUCUAGCCAUGGGCAGGUUGAAGGUUGGGUAACACUAACUGGAGGACCGAACCGACUAAUGUUGAAAAAUUAGCGGAUGACUUGUGGCUGGGGGUGAAAGGCCAAUCAAACCGGGAGAUAGCUGGUUCUCCCCGAAAGCUAUUUAGGUAGCGCCUCGUGAAUUCAUCUCCGGGGGUAGAGCACUGUUUCGGCAAGGGGGUCAUCCCGACUUACCAACCCGAUGCAAACUGCGAAUACCGGAGAAUGUUAUCACGGGAGACACACGGCGGGUGCUAACGUCCGUCGUGAAGAGGGAAACAACCCAGACCGCCAGCUAAGGUCCCAAAGUCAUGGUUAAGUGGGAAACGAUGUGGGAAGGCCCAGACAGCCAGGAUGUUGGCUUAGAAGCAGCCAUCAUUUAAAGAAAGCGUAAUAGCUCACUGGUCGAGUCGGCCUGCGCGGAAGAUGUAACGGGGCUAAACCAUGCACCGAAGCUGCGGCAGCGACACUAUGUGUUGUUGGGUAGGGGAGCGUUCUGUAAGCCUGUGAAGGUGUGCUGUGAGGCAUGCUGGAGGUAUCAGAAGUGCGAAUGCUGACAUAAGUAACGAUAAAGCGGGUGAAAAGCCCGCUCGCCGGAAGACCAAGGGUUCCUGUCCAACGUUAAUCGGGGCAGGGUGAGUCGACCCCUAAGGCGAGGCCGAAAGGCGUAGUCGAUGGGAAACAGGUUAAUAUUCCUGUACUUGGUGUUACUGCGAAGGGGGGACGGAGAAGGCUAUGUUGGCCGGGCGACGGUUGUCCCGGUUUAAGCGUGUAGGCUGGUUUUCCAGGCAAAUCCGGAAAAUCAAGGCUGAGGCGUGAUGACGAGGCACUACGGUGCUGAAGCAACAAAUGCCCUGCUUCCAGGAAAAGCCUCUAAGCAUCAGGUAACAUCAAAUCGUACCCCAAACCGACACAGGUGGUCAGGUAGAGAAUACCAAGGCGCUUGAGAGAACUCGGGUGAAGGAACUAGGCAAAAUGGUGCCGUAACUUCGGGAGAAGGCACGCUGAUAUGUAGGUGAAGCGACUUGCUCGUGGAGCUGAAAUCAGUCGAAGAUACCAGCUGGCUGCAACUGUUUAUUAAAAACACAGCACUGUGCAAACACGAAAGUGGACGUAUACGGUGUGACGCCUGCCCGGUGCCGGAAGGUUAAUUGAUGGGGUCAGCGCAAGCGAAGCUCUUGAUCGAAGCCCCGGUAAACGGCGGCCGUAACUAUAACGGUCCUAAGGUAGCGAAAUUCCUUGUCGGGUAAGUUCCGACCUGCACGAAUGGCGUAAUGAUGGCCAGGCUGUCUCCACCCGAGACUCAGUGAAAUUGAACUCGCUGUGAAGAUGCAGUGUACCCGCGGCAAGACGGAAAGACCCCGUGAACCUUUACUAUAGCUUGACACUGAACAUUGAGCCUUGAUGUGUAGGAUAGGUGGGAGGCUUUGAAGUGUGGACGCCAGUCUGCAUGGAGCCGACCUUGAAAUACCACCCUUUAAUGUUUGAUGUUCUAACGUUGACCCGUAAUCCGGGUUGCGGACAGUGUCUGGUGGGUAGUUUGACUGGGGCGGUCUCCUCCUAAAGAGUAACGGAGGAGCACGAAGGUUGGCUAAUCCUGGUCGGACAUCAGGAGGUUAGUGCAAUGGCAUAAGCCAGCUUGACUGCGAGCGUGACGGCGCGAGCAGGUGCGAAAGCAGGUCAUAGUGAUCCGGUGGUUCUGAAUGGAAGGGCCAUCGCUCAACGGAUAAAAGGUACUCCGGGGAUAACAGGCUGAUACCGCCCAAGAGUUCAUAUCGACGGCGGUGUUUGGCACCUCGAUGUCGGCUCAUCACAUCCUGGGGCUGAAGUAGGUCCCAAGGGUAUGGCUGUUCGCCAUUUAAAGUGGUACGCGAGCUGGGUUUAGAACGUCGUGAGACAGUUCGGUCCCUAUCUGCCGUGGGCGCUGGAGAACUGAGGGGGGCUGCUCCUAGUACGAGAGGACCGGAGUGGACGCAUCACUGGUGUUCGGGUUGUCAUGCCAAUGGCACUGCCCGGUAGCUAAAUGCGGAAGAGAUAAGUGCUGAAAGCAUCUAAGCACGAAACUUGCCCCGAGAUGAGUUCUCCCUGACUCCUUGAGAGUCCUGAAGGAACGUUGAAGACGACGACGUUGAUAGGCCGGGUGUGUAAGCG
RNAcentral lists this ribosomal RNA (2826 nucleotides) under Escherichia coli. RNAcentral describes it as "partial 23S ribosomal RNA". It matches the Rfam family "Bacterial large subunit ribosomal RNA". Lineage: Bacteria; Pseudomonadati; Pseudomonadota; Gammaproteobacteria; Enterobacterales; Enterobacteriaceae. The record is from RNAcentral.